AUGUCAGCGGUUGAUUUGGAGAUGUCUCGUCACCGUAUAUCUGUUUUAUUGUCAACCUGUACUGCAUAUGAGCUGCUCCCAGAGUCGGGCAAGGUUAUUGCAUUGGAUGUAAAUUUACCAGUAAAGCAAGCAUUCCACAUACUCUAUGAGCAGGGAAUCCCUUUGGCUCCUCUUUGGGACUUUGGUAAAGGCCAAUUUGU
Brassica oleracea var. oleracea is the source of this 200-nucleotide long non-coding RNA. RefSeq lists it as uncharacterized. The transcript is spliced from 3 exons. The record is from RefSeq and is a predicted model, not a curated record. Lineage: Eukaryota; Viridiplantae; Streptophyta; Magnoliopsida; Brassicales; Brassicaceae.